Molecule: long non-coding RNA, 1432 nt
Organism: Oreochromis niloticus (Nile tilapia)
Lineage: Eukaryota; Metazoa; Chordata; Actinopteri; Cichliformes; Cichlidae
Exons: 4
Source: RefSeq, a predicted model, not a curated record
CCACUAUUUAUGGAAGUUCCACACUGUAAAAACGAUAACUAGUAAUUGUUGAUUUGAGUAAAGUUUUCAAAUUAAACUGACUUAGAAAUAAAACUUUCCAUUUACAACCUAAAAUAGCUUGUCUGCCCAACAAAUUUCUUCCAUUGUUGUCCUAACUAAGAUUUUCUAGCGAGCAUAACAAAGAUUAUCAACUUUUGAGUAGAGUUUUUGAGUCGAGUUGGGAACCGGUGGGAAACCCCGUAGGUGACUGGCACACGUCGUGGUCUGAAUAAGUUUGAACUAGACCAAAUGAGUCUGAGCAGACUGUGUGAUAGUGGUUUGUCGAUGUGUUCUGAACUGAAAACCUGCUAAGAAAAUUUGAACAAACGUGGCCAAAGUUGGAUGAAAAUUACAAUUUUUCGACCAUUACGGAUUUUACCUGGUCUGAAGUUGGAGUGUAUUAUUUGACCAUUUUUUGGACAGGUGCGGGAGCUGCCGGCCAUUUGCCCUAGCAGGCGGAGAGAGGUCGUGGAGUGUCAGCCUAUGGUAUCUGAGGUCCAGGAGAGAUGACCUGCGCUGUUUUCCUCUGAGGAGGUAAGACUGUCCUAAUUUAUUUAUAAUUUAAUUAUUAUUCUAAUUGGGCAUGAUUUAUACUUAUAUUGAAGUAGUACGGUAUUUGCUGGGGUAAUGCAUUGGCCAACUUUAUUAUCUUGUGCUACCACUCCAGUCAAGGCCCUUGCCAGUGUUAUAUUGAAAUCCUUACCCUGAACAUUUCUGCCAGUACAAGAGUCCCCAUGCUAAAUCGAAAUUGUGAAACAGAAAGGCAAUCUCAUAAUUUUGACUUAGCAUGUAUUUUUUUUGUGUCUGUGUGUGCUAGAAAUAGGACUUCUAUAGUCUGAGAUUGUUAGGGAAAGAAUACUAAGGCAGGUCACAGAAUCUGAUUGGUCACAGAUUUUGGUGCAACUUAGAACAUAAUAUGUAUUUUCAUAUUGAUACUGGGUUUUGUGGGGGGUGUUUCUAUUCCUGUGCAAAAGACGUAUUCAUGAGAGAUUUUUGAAGUAGGUUUUGCUUUUGAUAACACAGUCAGGCAUAUAACAUGGUGCAGACUGUCCAAGAAGAGCUACCCAGGAAUUUUCUGUGCUGAAUAAAUGACAAUAUUUUGGUGAAUGCAUCCCUUGACAAAUUUGUGCCUGGCCUGCUGAAACUGUACUGGUCUAAGAAGGGAGCUCUUGGUGAGGAGAUGGAAGACCUCCUGGAUAAACUUGAUGAACAGACAUCCAACACUGUGUCCAACGGGCACUGAGAGGCCUGCCCAUUUUCCUCAAGAGAAGAUGCAACAGAGGUUUUCCUGAAGUGCUUAGACACUGACAUUUUGGAACCAGUGUUGAACGGUGCAUCAGUUGCCAUCCUCACCAUCCUACAAGAUGACGAUGCUGAUACGUCUGUGCGAGAA